UCCCAUGAACGACAAUCAACAAGUCAGUUUCUACUAAAGAUAUCACUUCGUGUAUGUCCUACUGUAGCCGUAUUGCUAGUACUUAGGAAUAACUUCAGGCAACGUGGAUGGUCUAACUCGUAACAUACAACGCCGGUCUCUGUAGCUCGCGGGCUAAACACGUUAAAGAAAUACUUCUCUUUACGUUUUUUGGUCUCGUUUCUUUUCUUGCAGCUUUAAUGACUCCGGUGACUACCUCGACCUCAGGAUUGGUAGUGAAGACGAAGAAUUCUUCGGUGAAGUUUAACAUCACGUGCCUUCUCGGAAAUCCACGGCCCAGCGUCCGAAUUCUCCGCGUGAGUCAGCAGCAGCGUCACGUGACCCGCCAAAAGAGCGACUGCCCACACCGGAGUUCCAGGGCCUUGUCUGCACCGUACCACCAUCGCUCUUCCUCGAGCAGCCCUCGGGAGGAUGAUGUGCCGCAGAUGAACUUCCACGCCGAGAACUGCGAAAGAAAAUCAGUGUUCUCGGCUGCCAUCGAUAGCGAAUGGCCGCAGAUGGCACCGCAGAUCGUUGAUUUCCCACGGGGAGCCCAAGUCGUGAGGCGCCGGCGCCCGAGCGGCGGGUGGCGUCAAGCUUCGCACCCUUGGCUGGCCGUGGUGCAAUGGUGCCGCUGUGCCGUCGAGAGGUAUUGCGCCGUUGUGUUCGUGGUGGUUGACGGCGACGCACUUCGCUUCCAACUAUUGUGUGCUGCUGACCACGUGACACGUACAGCGGCGCACGACGAGAAGCCCGGUAUGCCACGCAGCGACACUCGGUGCUCCUUUCCUCACCAAGUGCUACGUGCGGGAAAGCAGCUACCUUGCAGUCAUCUGAUCGAGAGUGCCUCGCAGACUUCUGCCGUCACGCUCCCAGUGGCGGAAGACGACGAACACUGUUGCGAGCUGCGGGGCCCGCUCGGCAGACGUGCACUUCUGUCGGGAACGCUGCCUGUCAAAAGGCCACCUGCUGCGUUUCUUCUGAAAUAUGGCGAAGUUGGGAGCUGUGCGUUGUACUGAGCAUCGACAGGCUCAGCUAGCACUGGGCCAGAGUUUUUAUAGAUCUGACGGCGCCGGGCAGACAGGGUUGCGCAGCGCACUUUUAUGCUGCAGCCUAUUUUUGCCUAGGAGGCGCCUCGUGAUUUACCCUAACCCAAUUGAGGGUAUGAUGACUGUUAGGUCGUAUUGGGCAUUUAGUAGCUUUCUUCGAGUAUGGUAGUAACGCUUUCGCACAAUCCUUUAUAUUUGGCAAGAAGGGAUAAAUUUUCUACGUGGACAAAGAAUUGCUGCUUGUUUGACUCAUGCAUAUUCGCUACUGGUGGGUGUCAUCCUCAAGCGUCGAGGUCCCAUAUUAUACACGCACCUGGCCGGAAACGCGCAUCUAUCAAUUUUGCCCGUAUGGGUAUACGCGGCGGCAGCUGCUGUCUGCCUCCCACAACAGCGCUGGAUGCUCUACUUGAAAGCCGUCUCUGGUUGGAAACUGGCUAUGCGCCAGUGCUUGGAAGAUAAGACUUGGCCAGUCCCACAUAGCAGGUAGGAGCCACAUGCGUUAUGGGAGACAGCACCAACAACCUCUCUGAUACACCAAGGAUAUGAGAAGGCUGUUCUUUUCUCUAGGGUUGAGUUCAGGAAGCUGCGGCACAUCAUUACUGAUCCGGCUUGCGACCCACGAUGCCGUCCCGGUGGCUGACUGAGCGUGCUACUACAUAAGGUAGAAGCACUUCCGGUCUGUUUCCAGGACGACGGCACCGGAGCAAAAUGAAGAAAGUGAAGGUAUGAUACUACUACGGUAUACUUUGGGGUGUACAAAUACGAGAAAUCAACCAGUGGCGAGUGUAUGGAACGGUAGCGACCUGAAUGGGAUGAGAACAGUCAUCUCUGAUCAACUUGCGCGUGCGAUGAUGUGCUCGGCCAGUGUUCGAUUUGGUCGCAUUUCAUAUUCAGAACUGUGAGUUUCUCUAUAACCAUCCGCCUUCUGCAAGCCUCGCGUAGCCGCGCCCAUGGCUUACAGAGCAUGGUGACGUGCACGAGGAUCCGCGGUUAUCAGAGGUAUGACGAAACACCCCAACGCUCG
Long non-coding RNA from Dermacentor andersoni, 2091 nucleotides. RefSeq lists it as uncharacterized. The record is from RefSeq and is a predicted model, not a curated record. Lineage: Eukaryota; Metazoa; Arthropoda; Arachnida; Ixodida; Ixodidae.